UUUUUUUUUUUUGUCUUUGUUUAGUUGCCAAGUCCAAGGAGGAAAAAGAAAGCCCAACCUUUGUCUGAAAUUAGCCCGAGGCCCAGCCCUUGUUUGAAACUAGCCCGAGGCCCAACUUAAGACCAGCCAAGCCCAGCCCUUGUUUGAAACUGGCCCAAGGCCAAGGUUAAGACCAGCCCAAGACUAUGUUUUGCAGUGCCCUAACUGCACAGCAGGUCAUCCCGUGCUUCUUCCUCAGCUUGUCCAACCAUUUUGCGCAGCUUUCAGUAUUCUCCUCCCCAGCGUUCCUUCACCCUUCCUUCAUAUAUAUAUAUAUAUAUAUAUAUAUAUUUUAAAUUCCCAAGUCCUAACUUCCCCGUGCCCCCAUCUUUCUCUCUCCACAUUUUCAGAAAACAAACUCAGGUCGAGGCUGGUGCUGCUACCUUGCUGCCAAGUUUUGAGAAGUGUUGCGGAUAUGGCUGUAGCGGUGAGUUAUGCAGCGGUGAGUGAAGCCCGGCACUCUGUGGCUGCUGAAAAUUGCAGCUUUCAUGAGUUGGAGUUUGUUGUAAAAUUGUAUGUGGAGGAGUAUCUUUUGAUUGCCCUCAACCUCGUAGCAUAAUAUUCAAUGCUUCCUAACUGUGUUUGUUGUAAAUUUGUAUGUGGAGGAGUACAUCUUUGAUUGCCCUCAACCCCAUAGCAUAAUACUCAAUGCUUCCUAACUGUGUUUGUGGAGGAGUACAUCUAUGUUUAAAGUUUUUUGUUUGUAUGAUUGUGGUUGGACAGAUUGCUAAAAUGUUGGGUUUUGGUGAUUAUUUUUUUAUUUUUUUAUUUUUUUAGUUUUUUUUGUUUUUGGAUAUUUGUAGCAAAGGUUUGUGUUGGAAAAUAGUUUAUUAGCUAAAAGUUGUGGUUGUGGCUUGAUUGGUGUAGGUUUAUUAAUGGUAGGUUUUUGGUUGUAGAUUUUUGUUUGGACACAUAGCUUGGAUAGGUAAAGGUAUUACUAGGACAUCAUAAAUUGAUUUUGCUUUACGUUAUCUUGAUCAAGAGUGUGUGAAGUUUUUUACAUGUUUUAGUAUUGAAGCUUUUUUAGCUAAAACUUAUAGGUGAAGCUUUAUGGUUGAAGCUUUUAUGUUGAAGUUUUGUAGAUUAAGCUUUUAUGUUGAAGUUGGGCACCAUAAAUUAAUUUUGUUUCACACUAUCUUAAUUAAAAGUGUGUGAAGCUUUUAACAUUUGUAGUUGCCUUCUAUUUGUUGAAGCUUUUGUUGGGUACCAUGAAUUGAUUUUACUUCACAUUAUCUUGAUCACGAGUGUGUAAACUUUUGACAUUUGUAGUUGCCUUUUAUUUGUUGAAGCUUUUGUUGGGCACCAUGAAUUGAUUUUGCUUCACAUUAUCUUGAUCAAGAGUGUGUAAGCUUUUGACAUUUGUAGUUGCCUUUUAUUUGUUGAAGUUUUUGUUGGGCAUCAUGAAUUGAUUUUGCUUCACACUAUCUUGAUCAAGAGUGUGUGAAGCUUUUGAUAUUUGUAGUUGCCUUCUAUUUGUUGAAGCCUUUUCUUUUCGGAUUUUUUUUUUAUUUUUUAUUUUUGGAAAUUGGAAUUUUGAAUUUUGAAUGUUCCUAGCUUACAUGGAAGUCUCAAGGCUUUACAAAUGGGGCUUUCUCAUGGGUUGAGUUUGAAUUUCUUUGGCCAUGUUUAACUAUAUAAUAAGGAUAAGUUUCCACUCUUUACAUUGCUUUCACUUGCUCCUUUUGUAGUGAGUAGAAUAUCAGAGUGUGUAACGAACAAAACUAACAAACAUAAUAAGAAUAUUAUUAAACAAACUGAGAAUGCCGGAACGGCUACAAAACCCUAAGAGACUACAUUGUGAAUAACUUAUUCUCUAAUGAAUAACAAAGCACUCUAUUUAUAAUAAACUAACCCUAAUCUCUAACAAAACCUAAUUCUAACAGGCUGAGCCCAAAUCCUAAAUCUAUUAUUUUCCAACACCCCCGGUCAAACUCAUAGCGGUAAACAACAUGAGUUUGCCAACAAGUAGAUGUGGGUUUCGUUAGUCGAACAAACAAGCAUGCUCCGCAACGAGGACAGACAGACAGGCAGGCUCCGCAACGUGGAUAGGCAGACAAGCAGGCUCCAUAACUCGGAUAGGCUUUGUUAGGCGG
Molecule: long non-coding RNA, 2132 nt
Filed under: Malus domestica (apple)
Lineage: Eukaryota; Viridiplantae; Streptophyta; Magnoliopsida; Rosales; Rosaceae
Description: long non-coding RNA (MDOM_LNC016245)
Source: RNAcentral